This 2925-nucleotide ribosomal RNA is filed under the name Salmonella enterica subsp. enterica serovar Enteritidis str. SA20093266. RNAcentral's name for it is "bacterial LSU rRNA". It matches the Rfam family "Bacterial large subunit ribosomal RNA". Lineage: Bacteria; Pseudomonadati; Pseudomonadota; Gammaproteobacteria; Enterobacterales; Enterobacteriaceae. The record is from RNAcentral. RNAcentral also lists the same sequence under 8 other names.
GGGUUGUGAGGUUAAGCGACUAAGCGUACACGGUGGAUGCCCUGGCAGUCAGAGGCGAUGAAGGGCGUACUAAUCUGCGAUAAGCGCCGGUAAGGUGAUAUGAACCGUUAUAACCGGCGAUACCCGAAUGGGGAAACCCAGUGUGAUUCGUCACACUAUCAUUAACUGAAUCCAUAGGUUAAUGAGGCGAACCGGGGGAACUGAAACAUCUAAGUACCCCGAGGAAAAGAAAUCAACCGAGAUUCCCCCAGUAGCGGCGAGCGAACGGGGAGGAGCCCAGAGCCUGAAUCAGCAUGUGUGUUAGUGGAAGCGUCUGGAAAGGCGCGCGAUACAGGGUGACAGCCCCGUACACAAAAGCGCAUGUGCUGUGAGCUCGAUGAGUAGGGCGGGACACGUGGUAUCCUGUCUGAAUAUGGGGGGACCAUCCUCCAAGGCUAAAUACUCCUGACUGACCGAUAGUGAACCAGUACCGUGAGGGAAAGGCGAAAAGAACCCCGGCGAGGGGAGUGAAAAAGAACCUGAAACCGUGUACGUACAAGCAGUGGGAGCACCCUUUGGGUGUGACUGCGUACCUUUUGUAUAAUGGGUCAGCGACUUAUAUUCUGUAGCAAGGUUAACCGAAUAGGGGAGCCGGAGGGAAACCGAGUCUUAAUUGGGCGUUAAGUUGCAGGGUAUAGACCCGAAACCCGGUGAUCUAGCCAUGGGCAGGUUGAAGGUUGGGUAACACUAACUGGAGGACCGAACCGACUAAUGUUGAAAAAUUAGCGGAUGACCUGUGGCUGGGGGUGAAAGGCCAAUCAAACCGGGAGAUAGCUGGUUCUCCCCGAAAGCUAUUUAGGUAGCGCCUCGUGAAUUCAUCUCCGGGGGUAGAGCACUGUUUCGGCUAGGGGGCCAUCCCGGCUUACCAACCCGAUGCAAACUGCGAAUACCGGAGAAUGUUAUCACGGGAGACACACGGCGGGUGCUAACGUCCGUCGUGAAGAGGGAAACAACCCAGACCGCCAGCUAAGGUCCCAAAGUCAUGGUUAAGUGGGAAACGAUGUGGGAAGGCCCAGACAGCCAGGAUGUUGGCUUAGAAGCAGCCAUCAUUUAAAGAAAGCGUAAUAGCUCACUGGUCGAGUCGGCCUGCGCGGAAGAUGUAACGGGGCUAAACCAUGCACCGAAGCUGCGGCAGCGACGCUUAUGCGUUGUUGGGUAGGGGAGCGUUCUGUAAGCCUGCGAAGGUGGCCUGUGAGGGUUGCUGGAGGUAUCAGAAGUGCGAAUGCUGACAUAAGUAACGAUAAAGCGGGUGAAAAGCCCGCUCGCCGGAAGACCAAGGGUUCCUGUCCAACGUUAAUCGGGGCAGGGUGAGUCGACCCCUAAGGCGAGGCCGAAAGGCGUAGUCGAUGGGAAACGGGUUAAUAUUCCCGUACUUGGUGUUACUGCGAAGGGGGGACGGAGAAGGCUAUGUUGGCCGGGCGACGGUUGUCCCGGUUUAAGCGUGUAGGUGUGUGUUCCAGGUAAAUCCGGUUCACUUUAACACUGAGGCGUGACGACGAGGCACUACGGUGCUGAAGCAACAAAUGCCCUGCUUCCAGGAAAAGCCUCUAAGCAUCAGGUAACAUCAAAUCGUACCCCAAACCGACACAGGUGGUCAGGUAGAGAAUACCAAGGCGCUUGAGAGAACUCGGGUGAAGGAACUAGGCAAAAUGGUGCCGUAACUUCGGGAGAAGGCACGCUGACACGUAGGUGAAGUGAUUUACUCAUGGAGCUGAAGUCAGUCGAAGAUACCAGCUGGCUGCAACUGUUUAUUAAAAACACAGCACUGUGCAAACACGAAAGUGGACGUAUACGGUGUGACGCCUGCCCGGUGCCGGAAGGUUAAUUGAUGGGGUCAGCGCAAGCGAAGCUCCUGAUCGAAGCCCCGGUAAACGGCGGCCGUAACUAUAACGGUCCUAAGGUAGCGAAAUUCCUUGUCGGGUAAGUUCCGACCUGCACGAAUGGCGUAAUGAUGGCCAGGCUGUCUCCACCCGAGACUCAGUGAAAUUGAACUCGCUGUGAAGAUGCAGUGUACCCGCGGCAAGACGGAAAGACCCCGUGAACCUUUACUAUAGCUUGACACUGAACAUUGAGCCUUGAUGUGUAGGAUAGGUGGGAGGCUUUGAAGUGUGGACGCCAGUCUGCAUGGAGCCGACCUUGAAAUACCACCCUUUAAUGUUUGAUGUUCUAACGUGGACCCGUUACCCGGGUUGCGGACAGUGUCUGGUGGGUAGUUUGACUGGGGCGGUCUCCUCCUAAAGAGUAACGGAGGAGCACGAAGGUUGGCUAAUCCUGGUCGGACAUCAGGAGGUUAGUGCAAUGGCAUAAGCCAGCUUGACUGCGAGCGUGACGGCGCGAGCAGGUGCGAAAGCAGGUCAUAGUGAUCCGGUGGUUCUGAAUGGAAGGGCCAUCGCUCAACGGAUAAAAGGUACUCCGGGGAUAACAGGCUGAUACCGCCCAAGAGUUCAUAUCGACGGCGGUGUUUGGCACCUCGAUGUCGGCUCAUCACAUCUGGGGCUGAAGUAGGUCCCAAGGGUAUGGCUGUUCGCCAUUUAAAGUGGUACGCGAGCUGGGUUUAGAACGUCGUGAGACAGUUCGGUCCCUAUCUGCCGUGGGCGCUGGAGAACUGAGGGGGGCUGCUCCUAGUACGAGAGGACCGGAGUGGACGCAUCACUGGUGUUCGGGUUGUCAUGCCAAUGGCACUGCCCGGUAGCUAAAUGCGGAAGAGAUAAGUGCUGAAAGCAUCUAAGCACGAAACUUGCCCCGAGAUGAGUUCUCCCUGAGACUUAAAGUCUCCUGAAGGAACGUUGAAGACGACGACGUUGAUAGGCCGGGUGUGUAAGCGCAGCGAUGCGUUGAGCUAACCGGUACUAAUGAACCGUGAGGCUUAACCUUACAACGCCGAAG